This 473-nucleotide ribosomal RNA is filed under the name uncultured bacterium. Its description in RNAcentral is "bacterial SSU rRNA". It matches the Rfam family "Bacterial small subunit ribosomal RNA", at positions 28 to 499 of the family's 1533-position model. The record is from RNAcentral.
GAUGAACGCUGGCGGCGUGCUUAACACAUGCAAGUCGAACGAAGCUGCUUAACAGAUUUCCUUCGGGAUUGAUGUUUUGUAGACUGAGUGGCGGACGGGUGAGUAACGCGUGGGUAACCUGCCCUGUACAGGGGGAUAACAAUCAGAAAUGACUGCUAAUACCGCAUAAGACCACAGCACCGCAUGGUGCAGGGGUAAAAACUCCGGUGGUACAGGAUGGACCCGCGUCUGAUUAGCUGGUUGGUGAGGUAACGGCUCACCAAGGCGACGAUCAGUAGCCGGCUUGAGAGAGUGAACGGCCACAUUGGGACUGAGACACGGCCCAAACUCCUACGGGAGGCAGCAGUGGGGAAUAUUGCACAAUGGGGGGAACCCUGAUGCAGCGACGCCGCGUGAGUGAAGAAGUAUCUCGGUAUGUAAAGCUCUAUCAGCAGGGAAGAAAAUGACGGUACCUGACUAAGAAGCCCCGGCUA